UGUGAGCUCGAUGAGUAGGGCGGGACACGUGGUAUCCUGUCUGAAUAUGGGGGGACCAUCCUCCAAGGCUAAAUACUCCUGACUGACCGAUAGUGAACCAGUACCGUGAGGGAAAGGCGAAAAGAACCCCGGCGAGGGGAGUGAAAAAGAACCUGAAACCGUGUACGUACAAGCAGUGGGAGCACGCUUAGGCGUGUGACUGCGUACCUUUUGUAUAAUGGGUCAGCGACUUAUAUUCUGUAGCAAGGUUAACCGAAUAGGGGAGCCGAAGGGAAACCGAGUCUUAACUGGGCGUUAAGUUGCAGGGUAUAGACCCGAAACCCGGUGAUCUAGCCAUGGGCAGGUUGAAGGUUGGGUAACACUAACUGGAGGACCGAACCGACUAAUGUUGAAAAAUUAGCGGAUGACUUGUGGCUGGGGGUGAAAGGCCAAUCAAACCGGGAGAUAGCUGGUUCUCCCCGAAAGCUAUUUAGGUAGCGCCUCGUGAAUUCAUCUCCGGGGGUAGAGCACUGUUUCGGCAAGGGGGUCAUCCCGACUUACCAACCCGAUGCAAACUGCGAAUACCGGAGAAUGUUAUCACGGGAGACACACGGCGGGUGCUAACGUCCGUCGUGAAGAGGGAAACAACCCAGACCGCCAGCUAAGGUCCCAAAGUCAUGGUUAAGUGGGAAACGAUGUGGGAAGGCCCAGACAGCCAGGAUGUUGGCUUAGAAGCAGCCAUCAUUUAAAGAAAGCGUAAUAGCUCACUGGUCGAGUCGGCCUGCGCGGAAGAUGUAACGGGGCUAAACCAUGCACCGAAGCUGCGGCAGCGACGCUUAUGCGUUGUUGGGUAGGGGAGCGUUCUGUAAGCCUGCGAAGGUGUGCUGUGAGGCAUGCUGGAGGUAUCAGAAGUGCGAAUGCUGACAUAAGUAACGAUAAAGCGGGUGAAAAGCCCGCUCGCCGGAAGACCAAGGGUUCCUGUCCAACGUUAAUCGGGGCAGGGUGAGUCGACCCCUAAGGCGAGGCCGAAAGGCGUAGUCGAUGGGAAACAGGUUAAUAUUCCUGUACUUGGUGUUACUGCGAAGGGGGGACGGAGAAGGCUAUGUUGGCCGGGCGACGGUUGUCCCGGUUUAAGCGUGUAGGCUGGUUUUCCAGGCAAAUCCGGAAAACUAAGGCUGAGGCGUGAUGACGAGGCACUACGGUGCUGAAGCAACAAAUGCCCUGCUUCCAGGAAAAGCCUCUAAGCAUCAGGUAACAUCAAAUCGUACCCCAAACCGACACAGGUGGUCAGGUAGAGAAUACCAAGGCGCUUGAGAGAACUCGGGUGAAGGAACUAGGCAAAAUGGUGCCGUAACUUCGGGAGAAGGCACGCUGAUAUGUAGGUGAAGUCCCUCGCGGAUGGAGCUGAAAUCAGUCGAAGAUACCAGCUGGCUGCAACUGUUUAUUAAAAACACAGCACUGUGCAAACACGAAAGUGGACGUAUACGGUGUGACGCCUGCCCGGUGCCGGAAGGUUAAUUGAUGGGGUUAGCGCAAGCGAAGCUCUUGAUCGAAGCCCCGGUAAACGGCGGCCGUAACUAUAACGGUCCUAAGGUAGCGAAAUUCCUUGUCGGGUAAGUUCCGACCUGCACGAAUGGCGUAAUGAUGGCCAGGCUGUCUCCACCCGAGACUCAGUGAAAUUGAACUCGCUGUGAAGAUGCAGUGUACCCGCGGCAAGACGGAAAGACCCCGUGAACCUUUACUAUAGCUUGACACUGAACAUUGAGCCUUGAUGUGUAGGAUAGGUGGGAGGCUU
This 1774-nucleotide ribosomal RNA is filed under the name Escherichia coli. Its description in RNAcentral is "partial 23S ribosomal RNA". It matches the Rfam family "Bacterial large subunit ribosomal RNA", at positions 398 to 2157 of the family's 2925-position model. Lineage: Bacteria; Pseudomonadati; Pseudomonadota; Gammaproteobacteria; Enterobacterales; Enterobacteriaceae. The record is from RNAcentral.